This 222-nucleotide long non-coding RNA is filed under the name Homo sapiens (human). Its description in RNAcentral is "non-protein coding lnc-UMPS-4:2". The record is from RNAcentral. Lineage: Eukaryota; Metazoa; Chordata; Mammalia; Primates; Hominidae.
AUGCAGCUCCGUUUUGCCCCAUUCUCUGAGCAGGCCACAACCCUGACUCAGGGAUCCACACAGGCCACAGGCUAUGACCUCAACGGUGCCUAUGAUGAUACAAUACCACCUAUGGAGAAAGCUCUAGGGAAAAUGGACAUUCAGAUAGCUCUUCCUUCUGGAUGUUACAGAAGAGUAGCUCCAUGGUUUGGAUUAGCUGCAAAACACUUUAUUGAUAGAUGA